Pelobates cultripes (western spadefoot toad) is the source of this 513-nucleotide non-coding RNA. NCBI's taxonomy places the organism in Eukaryota, Metazoa, Chordata, Amphibia, Anura, Pelobatidae. The record is from the annotation of a GenBank genome assembly.
CAACUGUAGAGUUAAGGUAGGCAAAUUAAUAGUUUUACAUUGUUUAAUCAAGAACAAACUUGAAACUUGCAUAAGAAAUGAUGAGCAACCGUUAAACAAAUAAUGAUUUAGGAGUUAUUAUAAAGCAGUGUGUAACUAGGUUUUAAAAUCGGUACUGCACUAUAUGAAAAAAAAAUGUUGCCUAAAAAUAAAUCAAUUUCCUACUUUAUGUAGCAAAAAUGUGUCUAAUUUUUUGAUCUGCAGCAGAAACAGAGAUCAUGAAAAGGUAGAUUUUUUUUUUGUUAAGAAAGUAAAUUAUUUUGUUAUUAUGACAGGAAACAGGUAGAACAAACUGUAGUUAGUGGUGUUAGUCAUUAAAGGGACACCCUACUGCCCAAAUACAAUAUAAAUAAAAAUCACUGUGAAGUAGAUAUACCCCAAAUCAAAACCUUCAUGCAUUUAAUUAUGCAUUUAUUUCAUUAAGAUAUAUCUUAAAACAGCUUGCAAAAGUUUCAGUUCUGCCAUUGAAAUCAC